UGGGGAAUAUUGCACAAUGGGCGCAAGCCUGAUGCAGCCAUGCCGCGUGUGUGAAGAAGGCCUUCGGGUUGUAAAGCACUUUCAGCGGGGAGGAAGGCGUUAAGGUUAAUAACCUUGGCGAUUGACGUUACCCGCAUAAGAAGCACCGGCUAACUCCGUGCCAGCAGCCGCGGUAAUACGGAGGGUGCAAGCGUUAAUCGGAAUUACUGGGCGUAAAGCGCACGCAGGCGGUCUGUCAAGUCGGAUGUGAAAUCCCCGGGCUCAACCUGGGAACUGCAUUCAAGACUGGCAGGCUAGAGUCUUGUAGAGGGGGGUAGAAUUCCAGGUGUAGCGGUGAAAUGCGUAGAGAUCUGGAGGAAUACCGGUGGCGAAGGCGGCCCCCUGGACAAAGACUGACGCUCAGGUGCGAAAGCGUGGGGAGCAAACAGG
This 429-nucleotide ribosomal RNA is filed under the name Chloroflexota bacterium. Its description in RNAcentral is "Chloroflexi bacterium partial 16S ribosomal RNA". It matches the Rfam family "Bacterial small subunit ribosomal RNA", at positions 355 to 776 of the family's 1533-position model. Lineage: Bacteria; Bacillati; Chloroflexota. The record is from RNAcentral.